This 999-nucleotide long non-coding RNA is filed under the name Carica papaya (papaya). RNAcentral describes it as "long non-coding RNA (CPAP_LNC012879)". Lineage: Eukaryota; Viridiplantae; Streptophyta; Magnoliopsida; Brassicales; Caricaceae. The record is from RNAcentral.
CCCCAUUUUAUUAUUAUUAUUAUUAUUAUUAUUAUUUCUAUUAAAUUAAAUUAAUUUAAUUUAAAACCUUAUAAAUUAAUUAUUAAAAUAAAACAAAAUUAGACAAAAUUCCAAUAAAAUUAAAAAAAAUAAAAGAAAAAUUUUUGGGUGUUACAGUUUCACUCCAACCCUCUCUAUAUACCCAUAUAUACAUACACGCCAUAAUUGUUUUUUUUUUUACCUCCAGUUACUACACACACUCUACUCCUCUUACUCAUUUACCCCUACCAUAAUUACCAUAUCGUAUUGAUGAAAAAUUAUCAGCUCUCUUAUGUGGAGUCACCACAUUAAACCACCCUAACAUUUCCAACGUAACUGUCUCCUCGACACUGACGUGACCACUCACCCACACUAUUAUUCCCAGAUAAAACCCCUCAGCCGUCACCAAUAUCGGCAACCCUUUUUUCUCACCACAAGACCCCCAACUGGCUACCCACUCACACCAUUACCGUUUUCUUCCAUCAACAAUAUCGACGACUCAACUUACCCCCAAUUUUCUUCAAUCCUCGGCCUUAAAUUGGCCAUACACUCACACCGUUACCCUACUGGCAGCCCCUUAACCGUCACCAACAUCGGCAAUCCCACUCAUCUUCAGUACCAAACAACCACCAAUAGCCAACAUCAGCAUAUUUAUCCACCCUAACAUACCAUCAGUGGAGUUAUACAAUUUUCACAAUCAUAGUCAAACAUCAUACAUGCAUACAUAUUCAACAAACAUAGAGAACAACUCAUACAGGCAUUCAUAUUCAACAAGCACACAAACUAGCUCAUACUAAUAUCCACACACAUGUAUAAUCAACCGAAUUCUUACGCAUACUCAUCAACUCUAUUCUAUAACAUACAAACACACACACUUCCUCUCACUGAUAUCCUUAUCUUUUAACAACCUCAAUUAUCCGUCUCGGAUUGGACACACACACCCUUCCUGUCACGGUGUAAUUCUCAUUUUUAUCUCCCUCA